Long non-coding RNA from Manis javanica (Malayan pangolin), 2406 nucleotides. RefSeq lists it as uncharacterized. Lineage: Eukaryota; Metazoa; Chordata; Mammalia; Pholidota; Manidae. The record is from RefSeq and is a predicted model, not a curated record.
CGUCCACCGAGGUCCAGAGCUCGCAGAAGAAGGAGCCGUACUCCCAGCGACCCCACACCACGAUGGUAGCCCCGAACGGCACCACCAGCAGCCCCAUGACCAGGUCGGCGCUGGCCAAGGACAUGAUGAAGAGAUAAAGGCAUAACGCAGAAAAAUCUUCAUUCAAUACAAACCCAAGAGUGGCAAAGGAGGCGGCUUCCUAUCAGCGGAAAUUGAAUAAUUGAAUAAAUGUGUUCUUUUUAAAAGUGAGAGGAUGUAGUAAAGAAACUAAUUUGGGCUGACUGUGCACCUGACCGGGAACUGGAGUUGCUGAAGGGAAAGAUCCUGUGGGGACUGAAGGUGCUCUGGCUCGGCUGUUGUCCCACAAAAUGGGCCAGCAGAUGAGCAUCAAUAUGAGCAGGCGGUUGCCCUUCACUGACCUUCCUAGCAAAACAAGAAUCAUGCCGCAGCUUUGCUUCCGCCUUCCAAAUCUCAUGCACACUUGUGGUCCAUGCCAGCCUGUAACUCUGCAUGGAGGGGGUUCCAAGAAGUGGAGGUCUAGCUUAGAGUUGACACAGUACAAGCCCAGCCCGGUUUGUUUUCAGAGCAGUGAGAGGACCAGGGCGGCUCACCAUCCUCACGUUUGCUCAUGUCCUGCCUCCUCAGUGCAGACCUAUUUAGGAGUGCAGCCCACCCUUGCUGGCCCCAACUCAACACUUGCAAUUCCUCUCUAAUUUCUCUUUAUUUUCCGUUGCACUCAUCACCUCCUGUUUAUGAUAUCACUGAUUGGUACCACAUUUAAUGCUUGCUUUUGUUUCCCAUCAGUAGAAUAGAGCAUAAGUAUUUUUCCAUUUUGUUCCAUGAUGUGCCCCAAACACUCUGAAAGCUCCGUCACUGGGCAGGCACUUAACCCCUACUCUUGGAGGAAGGAGAACAAUUGGCAGUGUCCGAGAUGAGUCUGGAGAAGUCAGCAGUGGCCAGGACAAGUGGCAUAGAUUUUAUUUUAGAUGUACUGAGAAGCCCUUGGGAGGUUUCAGCAGGGAGUCAUGUGUUCUCUCUGACAUUUUCACAGGUUCACUCUGGAGGUGUGUGUGUGUGUGGAGGGGUGGGCAUGGGGGGGUAUGGGAGAGGGUAGGCUCGGAAGGAAGUGACUGCAGUUGUCCACUUGGGAUGAGAGUAACUUGUGCUAUGGUGAUUGAAAAGUGGUGGCAAGUGGUCAAAUUCAAGAUAUAUUUGGGAAGUAGAAGUGUUUAAGCACUCUGAAAUGGGUUGGAUGUAGAAAUAAGGGUAGCUUAGGGGUUCAUCCUGAGCUGCCGUGUGAAAUGGUGGGCCCACUAGCAGAAAUGAAGACUGGAAGAGCAGCAGGUUUGAGGUCAGGAGCCGAGAUUUUCAUUUCUUCAUUAAACAGCUAUUUGCUGAGCCCCCACUAUGCUCUGGGCACUGUGCUAAUUCUUAGGAGUACCAUAGUGAACACCCUGGACUAAAAUCCUUGCCCUCAGGGAAUUUACAUUCUAGUGGGAGGGAAAAGCAAUAAUCAGGAAAGUUAGUAAGAAAAAGUAUGUUAAGAGGUGAUAAGAUGUAGAGGACAAGGGAGGGAGUAGGGAGUGUGAAGAGAGGGUGUAAUUUAAAAUAAGGUGGCCAAGGAAGGCCUCUUUAACCAGUGGCCUUUGGUAAAGACUUGGAGGAGGUGAGGGAGGGAGCCGUGAGGACACCUGGUGAAAGAACUUCCCAGGCAGGUGGUACAGCAAGUUCUUGUAAGGUCAGCCUGCCUGCCUUAUCUGAACAACAGCAAAGAGACCAGCAUGGUGGGGCGGAGUGGUCGGGGAGCAGUGAGAGAGGACUGGGAAGUGAUGGGUUGGGGGUAGCAAUGAGACUAUUUUAUGGAUUUGUAUUUGGCAUAAGAUGAGAAACCAUUGGAAGCAAAGGAAUGACAAGAGCCAACUUAACCUUUUGAAAGGUUUGAGACACCCAUGAACAUCCUAGUGGAGAUGUCAAGGAGGAGGUUGGAUGAGUCCGUAGCUUGGAAGAAAUCGUAGCUGGAGCUGGGUGCUAUCAGCGUAUAACAGUAUUUAAUGCCAGGAGACUAGAUAAGGUCAACCAGGGAAAGGUGAUAGAUAGAGAAGGGCAAAUAAAGGCAACAAAAAAAAUCCCAGCAGGAGGUGCCGUGCAUGGAGACUCUGGCCAUCUGGAGGGAUUGUUCUGCUGCCUUCACAGUGGGGGACCCCCUGUGGGGGCGAAGGUAGAGCCACUUCGUAUACAGUGCUCUCAGGAUCCAUAAUGAAGAAACUUACAAAUUCAAAAUGCAUACUGUAUAUGUGUGCAUACUGUAGUCCUUUGUAGAGAAAAGCUGUGAUUAUAAGUGCUGUCAGGUGGGCAGAUGUGGCUGACAACAGCCAGGAACGACCAAAGAUUCUCAGCUACAGGUAA